UACGGGGGGAGCAAGCGUUGUUCGGAUUUACUGGGCGUAAAGGGCGCGUAGGCGGCCUCCGCAAGUCAGUUGUGAAAUCUCCGAGCUUAACUCGGAAAUGUCAACUGAUACUGCGGGGCUAGAGUGCGGAAGGGGCAACUGGAAUUCUUGGUGUAGCGGUGAAAUGCGUAGAUAUCAAGAGGAACACCUGCGGCGAAGGCGGGUUGCUGGGCCGACACUGACGCUGAGGCGCGAAAGCUAGGGGAGCGAACGGG
This 254-nucleotide ribosomal RNA is filed under the name uncultured bacterium. RNAcentral describes it as "partial 16S ribosomal RNA". It matches the Rfam family "Bacterial small subunit ribosomal RNA", at positions 524 to 776 of the family's 1533-position model. The record is from RNAcentral.